RNAcentral lists this ribosomal RNA (240 nucleotides) under uncultured bacterium. RNAcentral's name for it is "partial 16S ribosomal RNA". It matches the Rfam family "Bacterial small subunit ribosomal RNA", at positions 57 to 305 of the family's 1533-position model. The record is from RNAcentral.
GCAAGUCGAACGAGAAAGCCCUUCGGGGUGAGUACAGUGGCGAACGGGUGAGUAACGCGUGAGAAUCUGCCAAUCAGUGAAGAAUACCCUCGAGAAAUCGAGGCUAAUACUGCAUAAGUCCCUUCGGGGAGAAAGGUGGCCUCUUGCUACCGCUGAUUGAUGAGCUCGCGUACUAUUAGCUUGUUGGUGAGGUAAAGGCUCACCAAGGCUAUGAUGGUUAACCGGCCUGAGAGGGUGACC